UAGAGCCUUCAUUCCAGCUCCGAUUUCUGCAGCGGGAACAUGAGAACCUGCGUAGCCAUCGCUGUCCUGGUCUUCUUCCCAUCGUAUGUUUACUCCCAGAUCAAGUUGGAGGAAUCUGACGGGGGAGUCAAGAGACCAGGGGAGACCUUCAGACUGACCUGCACUGUGUCCGGGUUUUCAGUCACUGAUUACGGGGUGAACUGGGUCAGGCAGCCAGCUGGAAAAUCCCCCCAGUGGAUGGGGGUACUUUGGGGUGGAGGGAGCACGGACUAUAAUUCAGCUCUUGGAGGCCGGAUCAGCAUCACCCGAGAGCCAGCAAAAAGUCAAGUGUACCUGCAAGUGAACAGCGCGGGAGAGGCGGACAGUGCAAUCUAUUACUGUGCCAUGAGAUACGCCAGUGGAGCACAGUAA
Molecule: non-coding RNA, 411 nt
Organism: Malaclemys terrapin pileata
Lineage: Eukaryota; Metazoa; Chordata; Testudines; Emydidae
Source: the annotation of a RefSeq genome assembly